UGAGGGACUAAGACACUGUAAUACUUUCUCAGCUCAAAGCGAAGUGUGACCAGCUGCCUGGAGCAAACAGCAGGCAGGUACUCAAGGGACCAAGACAAUGUAAUAUUCCUUCGGUACAGAGCCAAGUGUGACCAGCUGCUUCAAAUAAACAGCAGGACAAUUUACCAUGGCUAAUCCAGCAAACCUACACAUCUUUGGACCAUGCAAAGAAACUAGAGCACCCAGAGGAAACCCAUGGAGACACGGGCAGAACGUGCAAACUGCACACAGAUAAUGAACCAAGGCUGGAAUUGAAUCUGUGUCUCUGGCACCACUAUGCCACCCUGACAUGGAUGGCAAUUGAUAAAAUCUUAUUCAUGUUGAGCAACAGAGAUUUGAAGUAAAUAGAGCUCCUGCAGUUUCUGCAAGUGUCAUGUUAAACAGAGACAAAUAUAUAAGUACACUCACUUAUUCACAGAACACAAACUGACAGGUACCGAUACUUUCAGGUACAGAUGCACUCAUCCAUUCAUAUAGUUGAAGCUGUCAGAUAUAGACUGAUGAUUGCACAAACACAUUCACAUUGCAGAAACUGACAUGUACAUUUUGAUAACACACCCAUAUUCCCAGAGCAAAA
Molecule: long non-coding RNA, 616 nt
Organism: Hemiscyllium ocellatum (epaulette shark)
Lineage: Eukaryota; Metazoa; Chordata; Chondrichthyes; Orectolobiformes; Hemiscylliidae
Exons: 3
Source: RefSeq, a predicted model, not a curated record